CCCGCAACGAGCGCAACCCUUAUCCUUUGUUGCCAGCGGUCCGGCCGGGAACUCAAAGGAGACUGCCAGUGAUAAACUGGAGGAAGGUGGGGAUGACGUCAAGUCAUCAUGGCCCUUACGACCAGGGCUACACACGUGCUACAAUGGCGCAUACAAAGAGAAGCAAUCUCGCGAGAGCUAGCGGACCUCAUAAAGUGCGUCGUAGUCCGGAUUGGAGUCUGCAACUCGACUCCAUGAAGUCGGAAUCGCUAGUAAUCG
This 258-nucleotide ribosomal RNA is filed under the name Escherichia sp. July_NA2A8. RNAcentral describes it as "partial 16S ribosomal RNA". It matches the Rfam family "Bacterial small subunit ribosomal RNA", at positions 1086 to 1344 of the family's 1533-position model. Lineage: Bacteria; Pseudomonadati; Pseudomonadota; Gammaproteobacteria; Enterobacterales; Enterobacteriaceae. The record is from RNAcentral.